ACACUCCUGCGGGAGGCAGCAGUGGGGAAUAUUGCACAAUGGGCGCAAGCCUGAUGCAGCCAUGCCGCGUGUAUGAAGAAGGCCUUCGGGUUGUAAAGUACUUUCAGCGGGGAGGAAGGCGAUAAGGUUAAUAACCUUGUUGAUUGACGUUACCCGCAGAAGAAGCACCGGCUAACUCCGUGCCAGCAGCCGCGGUAAUACGGAGGGUGCAAGCGUUAAUCGGAAUUACUGGGCGUAAAGCGCACGCAGGCGGUCUGUCAAGUCGGAUGUGAAAUCCCCGGGCUCAACCUGGGAACUGCAUUCGAAACUGGCAGGCUAGAGUCUUGUAGAGGGGGGUAGAAUUUCAGGUGUAGCGGUGAAAUGCGUAGAGAUCUGGAGGAAUACCGGUGGCGAAGGCGGCCCCCUGGACAAAGGCUGACGCUCAGGUGCGAAAGCGUGGGGAGCAAACAGGAUUAGAAACCCUAGUAGUCCCAUG
RNAcentral lists this ribosomal RNA (475 nucleotides) under uncultured organism. RNAcentral's name for it is "partial 16S ribosomal RNA". It matches the Rfam family "Bacterial small subunit ribosomal RNA", at positions 333 to 799 of the family's 1533-position model. The record is from RNAcentral.